GGGGAAUAUUGCACAAUGGGGGAAACCCUGAUGCAGCAACGCCGCGUGAAGGAUGAAGGUUUUCGGAUUGUAAACUUCUUUAGUCAGGGACGAAAAAAUGACGGUACCUGAAGAAUAAGCCACGGCUAACUACGUGCCAGCAGCCGCGGUAAUACGUAGGUGGCAAGCGUUGUCCGGAAUUACUGGGUGUAAAGGGCGUGUAGGCGGGAAUGUAAGUCAGAUGUGAAAUCCCAGGGCUUAACCCUGGAGCUGCAUCUGAAACUAUGUUUCUUGAGUGCCGGAGAGGAAAGCGGAAUUCCUAGUGUAGCGGUGAAAUGCGUAGAUAUUAGGAGGAACACCAGUGGCGAAGGCGGCUUUCUGGACGGUAACUGACGCUGAAGCACGAAAGCAUGGGUAGCAAAC
Molecule: ribosomal RNA, 402 nt
Filed under: uncultured bacterium
Lineage: Bacteria
Description: bacterial SSU rRNA
Rfam family: Bacterial small subunit ribosomal RNA
Source: RNAcentral